GACGAACGCUGGCGGCGUGCUUAACACAUGCAAGUCGAACGGAAAGGCCCUGCUCUUGUGGGGUGCUCGAGUGGCGAACGGGUGAGUAACACGUGUGUAUCCUGCCCCUGACUUAGGGAUAACUUCAGGAAACUGGGGCUCAUACCGCAUAGGAUCUCCUGCUGCACGGUGGGGGUUGGUAAGUUUCGGCGGUUUGGGAUGGACUCGCAGCAUAUCAGCCUCUUGGGGGAGUAGUGGCUUACCAAGGCUUUGACGGGUAGCCUGCCUGAGAGGGUGACCGGCGACAAUGGGACUGAGAUACGGCCCAGACUCCUACCGGCCGCAGCAGUGGGAAGUAUUGCGCAAUGAGGGGGAGCCUGAUGCGACAACGCCGCGUGCGGAAUGACGGCCUUCUGGUUGUGAACAACUUUCGACUGUGCCGAAGCGUGAGUGACGGUAAUGGGUAAGAAAGCACCGGCUAACUACGUG
Molecule: ribosomal RNA, 468 nt
Filed under: uncultured bacterium
Lineage: Bacteria
Description: partial 16S ribosomal RNA
Rfam family: Bacterial small subunit ribosomal RNA
Source: RNAcentral